This 314-nucleotide unclassified non-coding RNA is filed under the name fungal sp. RNAcentral's name for it is "partial internal transcribed spacer region". The stretch from base 1 to 46 matches the Rfam family "Eukaryotic small subunit ribosomal RNA", at positions 1786 to 1831 of the family's 1831-position model. Lineage: Eukaryota; Fungi. The record is from RNAcentral.
AAGUCGUAACAAGGUUUCCGUAGGUGAACCUGCGGAAGGAUCAUUGCCGAACGGACGCGCGCUCGAAGGCCCCCUCGCGGGUCGAGGGCCGCGUCUUAUCGCACACCCAUGUGAAUUCGUGAUCGUGACCCUGGACGGUGUUAGUUGGUUGAGCUCAGGCUCGCCGAUGCCGAUCCGGCUCCUUUCAACCCAAUCAACAAACCACGUUGUCAAAAACCUCUUGACUGAGACGAAUGGGUCGACGCCCUAAAAAAGCGACCGACUCGACAAGACAUAACCUAUCACAACUUUUAACAACGGAUAUCUUGGCUCGC